Molecule: non-coding RNA, 107 nt
Organism: Gossypium arboreum
Lineage: Eukaryota; Viridiplantae; Streptophyta; Magnoliopsida; Malvales; Malvaceae
Source: Rfam
AUACCAUGGUGAGGACACCUUCACAAUUACUUUUUGAACUGCUACCAUACCUCGUAUAAAGAUUCUUUAUCGAAUUGAUGGAAUGUGAUGAUCUCAUUCCGAAGUUU